Molecule: long non-coding RNA, 933 nt
Filed under: Phoenix dactylifera (date palm)
Lineage: Eukaryota; Viridiplantae; Streptophyta; Magnoliopsida; Arecales; Arecaceae
Description: long non-coding RNA (PDAC_LNC016949)
Source: RNAcentral
GCUGAUGGUCUUCCCCUAAGAUACAAUGAUCUAUAUCCCUCAAACAGUGCAGUCAGGUAAGGAAGUCGAACCAAAAGGUGUGCGUAGCAAUCACCCAAAGAAACAGAUUGUUGAUGGUAUAUAAUAGAAUGGAAAGCCUUUACAGUUAGGAAGCUUGUUUCUUUGACACUCCCUUGAGGAGAGUGGAGAUCAAUAUAAAGCCCCAACCAUAACAUUCCAAUACUCACUCCCCAUCGGAUGAGAAGGUUGGUUAGGGCAUGUUUGGCUCAUGGUAAAAAUCUCUCAAUGAAAUAAAAGACGGAGUCAAAAUAAGUAAAUGUGAUAAAAAUAAAGAAUAAAAAUAAAAGAAAGAAACAACUAAAACUCGUCUAAUAAGAAACAUAUAAAAUAGUAAAACAAGUUUUAACAAUCUCCCUACUGAUUUAAAAUUUUGGUAAAAGAAAAUAAUAGGACCACCUUAUAUACCAUAUUUUUGUUAACACGUGUUGUUUGAACUUGUACUUGCAUCUAGCACUGAAAAGAUUCCACCCACAUACGUCCUAGGUGAACUUUGUUUUGAACUUGGAGCCUUGACGUGCAGGCUUCAUCAAAUCAAGCGCAUAGUACAAGGCUACAAGGCCUAGAUUAUUUUAGUUGUCUUUAACAGUCACACAUAAGUAUCUUAGCUUUCAUGAGCACCCUAGGGAAUUGCCCUGACUCUCAUAGGCUCUGACCUUACAGCCAUAUCAUAUAGAUGAGCUCUCCAAGAUGUGUCCUGCAACAUAUAUCCUGCCUUAAGGCCCUGAACUUGUUCAGAGCUUAUGUUCUUCCUUUAGACAAUCGAAUACUGACAUCAUAAGGAUGGCAUAUGGAGUUAGACACCGACUAGGUGCCCCUACCAGUCAAGCAUACAGCUUGUUUUUACCCAUCAAACCUAUUUCUUAGGAUCUCCAG